Molecule: ribosomal RNA, 603 nt
Filed under: Microbaculum marinum
Lineage: Bacteria; Pseudomonadati; Pseudomonadota; Alphaproteobacteria; Hyphomicrobiales; Tepidamorphaceae
Description: bacterial SSU rRNA
Rfam family: Bacterial small subunit ribosomal RNA
Source: RNAcentral
CGCCCCCUUCGGGGGGAGUGGCAGACGGGUGAGUAACGCGUGGGAACCUACCCAAUGGUACGGAAUAACGCAGGGAAACUUGUGCUAAUACCGUAUAAGCCCUUCGGGGGAAAGAUUUAUCGCCAUUGGACGGGCCCGCGUUGGAUUAGCUAGUUGGUGAGGUAAAGGCUCACCAAGGCGACGAUCCAUAGCUGGUCUGAGAGGAUGAUCAGCCACACUGGGACUGAGACACGGCCCAGACUCCUACGGGAGGCAGCAGUGGGGAAUAUUGGACAAUGGGCGAAAGCCUGAUCCAGCCAUGCCGCGUGGGUGAAGAAGGCCUUAGGGUUGUAAAUCCCUUUCAGCGGGGAAGAUAAUGACGGUACCCGCAGAAGAAGCCCCGGCUAACUCCGUGCCAGCAGCCGCGGUAAUACGGAGGGGGCUAGCGUUGUUCGGAAUUACUGGGCGUAAAGCGCACGUAGGCGGGCUGUUUAGUCAGUGGUGAAAUCCCGAGGCUCAACCUCGGAAUUGCCUUUGAUACUGGCAGCCUUGAGUUCGAGAGAGGUGAGUGGAAUUCCGAGUGUAGAGGUGAAAUUCGUAGAUAUUCGGAGGAACACCAGUGGC